GAUGAACGCUAGCGGGAGGCCUAACACAUGCCAGCCGAGCGGUAGAGUCUCUUCGGAGACUUGAGAGCGGCGCACGGGUGCGGAACACGUGUGCAACCUGCCUUUAUCUGGGGGAUAGCCUUUCGAAAGGAAGAUUAAUACCCCAUAAUAUACUGGAUGGCAUCAUCUGGUAUUGAAAACUCCGGUGGAUAGAGAUGGGCACGCGCAAGAUUAGAUAGUUGGUGAGGUAACGGCUCACCAAGUCAGCGAUCUUUAGGGGGCCUGAGAGGGUGAUCCCCCACACUGGUACUGAGACACGGACCAGACUCCUACGGGAGGCAGCAGUGAGGAAUAUUGGACAAUGGGUGAGAGCCUGAUCCAGCCAUCCCGCGUGAAGGACGACGGCCCUAUGGGUUGUAAACUUCUUUUGUAUAGGGAUAAACCUAGAUACGUGUAUCUAGCUGAAGGUACUAUACGAAUAAGCACCGGCUAACUCCGCG
RNAcentral lists this ribosomal RNA (479 nucleotides) under uncultured bacterium. RNAcentral's name for it is "partial 16S ribosomal RNA". It matches the Rfam family "Bacterial small subunit ribosomal RNA", at positions 28 to 507 of the family's 1533-position model. The record is from RNAcentral.